CCCUGUCGCUCCGGAGCUGGCGCGUGGCCUCCCGAAGGAAUGGUGCAGAGAGAAGGUAGGAAAUCCUGAUGCUCCGGCACUGGUCAGCUGUGUGCCCCUGGACUUCUGAGACCACCAGAUUUCUCUCUGAGACCACCUCCACGGGGGGCUCAACAAGUGGCUGCUUUACUGGGGGCCGGUUUUCCUUCUGGGUCAUCUGCACCCUCUGCCACCACCACCCCUCUCCCCCGGCCCCAGCCAUCCCACUCCCGAGGGCUUGCACAGUUUUCAACAGCCAUAGAUCCCAGAAAUCUGGGAAAGAGAAAUUUUAAAAACCACAAAAGAGUCUUUAAAAAAAGAAGAAGGAAGAGGAAAAACACUUUUACGCACUGUCCACACCUCUGUCACUCUCAGUGAGCUUCGGAAGGGACUCCGACUCAGUGGCAGUGUGGGCAACCCCCAAUCCCUCCCCACGCCGACCGAGUGGCGAAGGCAGUCGCCGAUGCCCGGACCGCUUCUCCUCCAGCCCGCGGGGCCCCUGCUCCGAGGGCCCUGUGCGCUCCCACGCGGUGCUGCACAGCGCACGCUCCUGGUGCCUCUCCACCGCGGGUCCCCUCUGCCGCCCACCAGUCAGACCCGGGACGGCAGGGACUAAGCUGACAAUAAUUCAUAGCGCCCCCCCUUUUCUCUGGAGAACAGCCCUUUGUCUGGGAGGAUACGCCCUCCCUCGACCAAGGUCAAUGUCAGACCGACUCCGUGGAGUGAACAAUAGACUGGCUUCCUGCCUCAAGGCUGCUCUGACGCUGGGACAGAGUUCACAGCCCACGGCUCCCCUCGCCCUUCUCCCCAGAGCUGUCUGCCAAUAAACCACCGGGACAGGCAGCUCUGACUCCGGAUCUGCUCCAGGGAACCUGGGCUGAGCCCGGCUCUGAUCUAACAACCCUGAGGACUUCCUCUGACUGGCCCACUACCCUCGGGGGACGUGGAGCCCACGCUUCAUCCGUGGGAUUGCUGUUCCUUGGGUACGGUGUCUGAGAUGGUCAGAGCAGGAGCACAGCUUAGUCGACACCCAGCUCAGCAUUUCCCAGAGCGCUCCGGGAAGAUCAAUAAUCCCAUGCCAUGUGGGGAAACCGAAGGGAUUUCUGCCUGCAGGUGCAUGUAGGGAAUUCUGACUUAGAGGUGAGAAGGAUCUCUUCAUGAGAGGGCUGCCCGUGGACUUAAAUAUUCAUUCAAACAGAUUCUGGAACCUAUAGCAGCUUUUCCCCACCUCUGCACCGUUGACAUUUGGCUCAUUCUUUGCCGUGGGGCCAUCCUGGGCCUUACGGAUGUGGAGCAGAUCCCUGGCCUCUGCCCACGAGACGCCAGUCGCACCCCCACACACCUGCACGACCAGCGCAACUUGUCCCAGGCACUGCCCAGCGUCCUCUGGGGGCCAGAACCUGCCGGCGUGGGGGCCGUUGCCCUAGAAGAAAGGUGGUGUCCACCAUACCCUUUUGUUUCCCUCUGGUUUUUCGGCACCCAUUGGAACUAGAACCCUGCAGGAUGUAACGGAAAUCAGCCCAAACCAGCUUCCCUUCUAUAGGCGAGGUAACUGAGGCCCCGAAAGGGGAGAGGGUCUCCCCACAAAAACCAAGUGAGUCUGUAACAAAUUCACAGCUCCACCGAAGCCCCCCCACACCCCGCCAAGGUGUAGGUGUGUUUCCAGAGGGCGCUGCCAGGCAGAGCAAGACGCAGCCCCAGGUGGGACCCAGCGCAGAAGGAGGAAACCCAGCCUUCUCCGGGCCUCCCUCGGCCACGGCCUUUUCUCCGUCCCCAGGGACCCUUUCGCUCCCGCCCAAACACAAGACCCACGUCACGCUUAACCUCUGCGCCUAACGUCCCGGCCACGCCCCGCCGCCAGCACACGCCCACGGCUCUCCAUCCCAGCACCGAGGAGAACACCCUCUUCCUGCCUCUUCCUGCGGCUCACAGAACCCAGCAAUCGUCCUCAGUGGAGGCGCCUACACACUCUUACAACAUCUGCCUGCGAGUCUAGACGUUUCUUACACCGACGGCUCUCACAACAGCUGGGCGGCACACCCGAGAUUCCCAUUUCUAAGCCGACACUCAGAAACUGAGGGGACGGGUCACGUGGCUCGUCGGGAAUGUGCAGGAGCCGGCACUAACGCAAGUCCGAGUGGUCCCCAGGCCCAUCUGGGGACCACCCUGUCAGACUGGGGAUGCUCCUGGAACCCCAGCGCCCAGAGACACGCGGUGACCUUCUGGAGGGGGGCCCGGCCCGGCAGCCUCAGCCUCACCUCGAGGGACCUCCCGGGCCUAAGCAGGUGCAGGUGCGGCCUCUGUGUCCCCGCACGGCGUCUUUUCUGGAUUCCGCUGUCCUCUGGGUCCUGCGCUCGCUCCUCCCGUCAGCGUGGACUGCCCGGCAUCAGGGUUUGCACACGAACUGCAAAGAUUUCUCAGACGGGGGGUGAGACUUUCUCCGGGGCCUCGGUGCUCCGAGUUUCUGUCCCCUGGUCCUCGUGGCCCCGUCCUGAGGGCCGCACAGGCCGGGGGGACAGCGCUGCCUGUGUUCCCCGCUGCUUGUGGGGGGCGGAGCUCCCCGCAUCCCCGCUGGUGCCGCAGUCUGGUCACCUUUGGGGGAGGAAGAGACUUUCUCCCACUUUUCUAGGUUCCUCCGGCUGGUCUGCUACUGAGAUCAACAGGAGACGGAUUAACGAGAGAAAACAACCGCCUCUAAUUACGUGCGGCUGCGUGGGAGCCGCCUG
This is a long non-coding RNA of Phyllostomus hastatus (greater spear-nosed bat), 2744 nucleotides long. RefSeq lists it as uncharacterized. NCBI's taxonomy places the organism in Eukaryota, Metazoa, Chordata, Mammalia, Chiroptera, Phyllostomidae. The record is from RefSeq and is a predicted model, not a curated record. The transcript is spliced from 3 exons.